This 486-nucleotide ribosomal RNA is filed under the name uncultured bacterium. Its description in RNAcentral is "partial 16S ribosomal RNA". It matches the Rfam family "Bacterial small subunit ribosomal RNA", at positions 30 to 507 of the family's 1533-position model. The record is from RNAcentral.
AUUGAACGCUGGCGGCAUGCCUUACACAUGCAAGUCGAACGGCAGCACGGGUGCUUGCACCUGGUGGCGAGUGGCGAACGGGUGAGUAAUACAUCGGAACAUGUCCUGUAGUGGGGGAUAGCCCGGCGAAAGCCGGAUUAAUACCGCAUACGAUCUACGGAUGAAAGCGGGGGACCUUCGGGCCUCGCGCUAUAGGGUUGGCCGAUGGCUGAUUAGCUAGUUGGUGGGGUAAAGGCCUACCAAGGCGACGAUCAGUAGCUGGUCUGAGAGGACGACCAGCCACACUGGGACUGAGACACGGCCCAGACUCCUACGGGAGGCAGCAGUGGGGAAUUUUGGACAAUGGGCGAAAGCCUGAUCCAGCAAUGCCGCGUGUGUGAAGAAGGCCUUCGGGUUGUAAAGCACUUUUGUCCGGAAAGAAAUCCUUGGCCCUAAUACGGUCGGGGGAUGACGGUACCGGAAGAAUAUGCACCGGCUAACUACGUG